This 449-nucleotide ribosomal RNA is filed under the name uncultured bacterium. RNAcentral describes it as "partial 16S ribosomal RNA". It matches the Rfam family "Bacterial small subunit ribosomal RNA", at positions 29 to 523 of the family's 1533-position model. The record is from RNAcentral.
AGCGAACGCUGGCGGCAGGCUUAACACAUGCAAGUCGAACGCAUCCUUCGGGGUGAGUGGCAGACGGGUGAGUAACGCGUGGGAACAUGCCCUUUGGUUCGGAAUAACUCAGGGAAACUUGAGCUAAUACCGGAUAAGCCCUUUUGGGGAAAGAUUUAUCGCCGAAGGAUUGGCCCGCGUCCGAUUAGCUAGUUGGUGAGGUAAUGGCUCACCAAGGCGACGAUCGGUAGCUGGUCUGAGAGGAUGAUCAGCCACACUGGGACUGAGACACGGCCCAGACUCCUACGGGAGGAAGCAGUGGGGAAUAUUGGACAAUGGGGGCAACCCUGAUCCAGCCAUGCCGCGUGAGUGAUGAAGGCCCUAGGGUUGUAAAGCUCUUUCGGCGGGGACGAUAAUGACGGUACCCGCAGAAGAAGCCCCGGCUAACUUCGUGCCAGCAGCCGCGGUAA